This 428-nucleotide ribosomal RNA is filed under the name uncultured bacterium. RNAcentral describes it as "bacterial SSU rRNA". It matches the Rfam family "Bacterial small subunit ribosomal RNA", at positions 355 to 776 of the family's 1533-position model. The record is from RNAcentral.
UGGGGAAUCUUCCGCAAUGGGCGAAAGCCUGACGGAGCAACGCCGCGUGAUCGAAUGAAGGCCUUCGGGUUGUAAAGAUCUGUUGACAGGGACGAAUAAGCAAUGCGAAUAGUUUUGUGUAUGACGGUACCUGUUUAGAAAGCUCCGGCUAACUACGUGCCAGCAGCCGCGGUAAUACGUAGGGAGCAAGCGUUGUCCGGAAUUACUGGGCGUAAAGGGCGCGUAGGUGGGCGCUUAAGUCAGGUGUGAAAACUCCGGGCUCAACCUGGAGACUGCACUUGAAACUGGGUGUCUUGAGGGCAGGAGAGGAAAGUGGAAUUCCUAGUGUAGCGGUGAAAUGCGUAGAUAUUAGGAGGAACACCAGUGGCGAAGGCGACUUUCUGGACUGUACCUGACGCUGAGGCGCGAAAGCGUGGGUAGCGAACGGG